GCAAAACGCGAAGAACCUUACCUAGGCUUGACAUGCAUCUCUAAGCGCGUGAAAGCGCGUGACCCUUCGGGGGAUUUGCACAGGUGCUGCAUGGCCGUCGUCAGCUCGUGUCGUGAGAUGUUGGGUUAAGUCCCGCAACGAGCGCAGCCCUUGUGAACAGUUGCCAGCACUUAAGGUGGGAACUCUGUUCAGACUGCCCAGAUCAACUGGGAGGAAGGCGGGGACGACGUCAAGUCAUCACGGCCCUUACGUCCUGGGCCACACACGUGCUACAAUGGCCGGUACAGAGGGCAGCUACCCCGCGAGGGGAUGCGAAUCUCUAAAGCCGGUCUCAGUUCGGAUUGGAGUCUGCAACUCGACCCCAUGAAGUCGGAAUCGCUAGUAAUCGCGUAACAGCAUGACGCGGUGAAUACGUUCCCGGGUCUUGUACACACCG
Molecule: ribosomal RNA, 436 nt
Filed under: uncultured bacterium
Lineage: Bacteria
Description: bacterial SSU rRNA
Rfam family: Bacterial small subunit ribosomal RNA
Source: RNAcentral